UGGUGGAGUGAUUUGUCUGGUUAAUUCCGUUAACGAACGAGACCUUAACCUACUAACUAGUUACGCGAAGCAUGCUUCGUGGAUAACUUCUUAGAGGGACUAUUGGUGUUUAACCAAUGGAAGUUUGAGGCAAUAACA
RNAcentral lists this ribosomal RNA (138 nucleotides) under uncultured eukaryote. Its description in RNAcentral is "partial 18S ribosomal RNA". It matches the Rfam family "Eukaryotic small subunit ribosomal RNA", at positions 1299 to 1458 of the family's 1831-position model. The record is from RNAcentral.